GACGAACGCUGGCGGCGUGCUUAACACAUGCAAGUCGAACGGUAAGGCCCUUCGGGGUACACGAGUGGCGAACGGGUGAGUAACGCGUGAGUAACCUGCCCUUCACUCUGGGAUAACAGUUGGAAACGGCUGCUAAUACCGGAUAUUCAGCUCCUGUCGCAUGGUGGGGGUUGGAAAGUUUUGGUGGUGGAGGAUGGGCUCGCGUCCUAUCAGCUUGUUGGUGGGGUGAUGGCCUACCAAGGCGUCGACGGGUAGCCGGCCUGAGAGGGCGACCGGCCACAUUGGGACUGAGAUACGGCCCAAACUCCUACGGGAGGCAGCAGUGGGGAAUAUUGCACAAUGGGCGGAAGCCUGAUGCAGCAACGCCGCGUGCGGGAUGACGGCCUUCGGGUUGUAAACCGCUUUCAGCAGGGACGAAGCGCAAGUGACGGUACCUGCAGAAGAAGCACCGGCUAACUACGUGC
Molecule: ribosomal RNA, 464 nt
Filed under: uncultured bacterium
Lineage: Bacteria
Description: partial 16S ribosomal RNA
Rfam family: Bacterial small subunit ribosomal RNA
Source: RNAcentral